GCUUGGCCCUAAACCUCAGUAGUUAGAUAACAAAACUACUCGCCAGAAUACUACAAGCAACAGCUUAAAACUCAAAGGACUUGACGGUGCUUUACACCCCCUAGAGGAGCCUGUUCCGUAAUCGAUAAACCCCGAUCCACCCCACCCUCUCUUGCUCAGCCUAUAUACCGCCAUCUUCAGCAAACCCUGAUGAAGGUCACAAAGUGAGCGCAAAUGCCAUCCACCGCAAAAACGUUAGGUCAAGGUGUAGCCUAUGAGACGGUAAAAAAUGGGCUACAUUUUCUACCUCAGAAAAUUCCACGAAAACCCUUAUGAAAUUUAAGGGUCCAAGGAGGAUUUAGCAGUAAAUUAAGAAUAGAGUGCUUAAUUGAACCAGGCCAUAAAGCGCGCACACACCGCCCGUCGUUCUU
Molecule: ribosomal RNA, 410 nt
Filed under: Macaca mulatta (Rhesus monkey)
Lineage: Eukaryota; Metazoa; Chordata; Mammalia; Primates; Cercopithecidae
Description: partial 12S ribosomal RNA
Rfam family: Bacterial small subunit ribosomal RNA
Source: RNAcentral